This is a long non-coding RNA of Humulus lupulus (European hop), 470 nucleotides long. RefSeq lists it as uncharacterized. Lineage: Eukaryota; Viridiplantae; Streptophyta; Magnoliopsida; Rosales; Cannabaceae. The record is from RefSeq and is a predicted model, not a curated record. The transcript is spliced from 3 exons.
UGGAGAAUGAUAGUCUGGAUGAGUGGGAGAGAAGAUGCAAUGUUUCUAAAGAAAUGUCCCGUCUGUACGAAGUAUGUUAUGAAGAAAAGAAGAAGGUGGAAGAAUUGCAGCGUCGGAUUGAGAAUUUGGAAAAUGAAAAGAAGGAAAUUAAGGAUAUUAAGAAGAGAGCCCGGUGGGGAAAGAAUGCAGUGAAAUGUUUGAGAAGGCAUAUAAAGGAGCAGGAUCAGGUCAUUGAGAUCUUGCAUGGUUAGACGUUGAAGCUUAGUGAGAAGUUGACGAGGCUGAGCGCUCGAGAUUCUUCCGUCUAGCUACUUUGUUUGCCGAAAUAAUAGUCUGUUGCUCCAAUUCUCUUUGGUUCUUCUUCUACGUUCUCUUAAAACACGUACUCUCCUUAAGGCAAAGAAUUGCAUAUUUUGUGUGGCAUGUUUAAUUUCCUUGUGCCUUUUUCUCUCUUGUUUUGUAUCUUAAUU